AUGAGGCACUAUUUUGUGGAUAAUCCCGUGUGCCCCGAGUUGUACUUCCGGCGCCGGUUUAGGAUGAGCACCGAGUUGUUUAGGCGCAUUGCAGAGAAACUGGCGAGCCAUGAUUGGUUUUUUCAGCAAAGGAGGAAUGCCGCCGGAGAACUCGGUCAUAGCACCUUUCAGAAGGUAACAACCACUUUGCGUAUGUUGGCAUACGGUAUUCCGGGUGAUCUAGUUGACGACCACUUGGCCAUGGGUGAGAUUCAAGCCAUCAUGUGUAUCCACUACUAG
Molecule: ribosomal RNA, 279 nt
Filed under: Triticum aestivum (bread wheat)
Lineage: Eukaryota; Viridiplantae; Streptophyta; Magnoliopsida; Poales; Poaceae
Description: partial small subunit ribosomal RNA
Source: RNAcentral